This is a long non-coding RNA of Arabidopsis thaliana (thale cress), 338 nucleotides long. RefSeq annotates it as other RNA. The transcript has a single exon. The record is from RefSeq. NCBI's taxonomy places the organism in Eukaryota, Viridiplantae, Streptophyta, Magnoliopsida, Brassicales, Brassicaceae.
CUAUUCCUAAUUUUAUUCUAAAUGUUUUGUUUGUAUACAAAACAGAGGCUGUUCCUAACAUAUGUUGUGGUGGUUGCUACAGAUUCAUAUCAAAAUAACAAAUGAUCAUGUGGCUUCUCUAGUUGGCUUACUUUCACUUUCGUGUAUCUCUUAUUCGAAACAGAUGAGCUCACCAUUCGAAAGCUAGUUUUGAAAAACACUCAAUGUAUCACCGCCGCUCAUAUACGAACCUGCCUAAGGCUAGCUUCUCAAUACCCAAGCAACAAUUUUCAAACUUUUCGAGUUUCAGUAAAAUCGGAGAGCAACCAAAUUUUCUGUGCGGCUUUCCGUCGAAAACC